UGGAUCGAUGAUGACUUAAAGAUUUAUCUAAUUUAAAUCUGAACAAAAUGAGUGACCAAAACACUUCUGUACCACUUCUGUGAGCUGAGGUCCA
This 94-nucleotide small nucleolar RNA is filed under the name Homo sapiens (human). Its description in RNAcentral is "small nucleolar RNA, C/D box 116-27 (SNORD116-27)". It matches the Rfam family "Small nucleolar RNA SNORD116". Rfam says of the family: HBII-85 is a member of the C/D class of snoRNAs, which contain the C (UGAUGA) and D (CUGA) box motifs. HBII-85 is encoded in a tandemly repeated array with another C/D snoRNA, HBII-52, in the Prader-Willi syndrome (PWS) region of chromosome 15. The record is from RNAcentral. Lineage: Eukaryota; Metazoa; Chordata; Mammalia; Primates; Hominidae.